This is a long non-coding RNA of Bacillus rossius redtenbacheri, 1483 nucleotides long. RefSeq lists it as uncharacterized. The record is from RefSeq and is a predicted model, not a curated record. The transcript has 2 exons. Lineage: Eukaryota; Metazoa; Arthropoda; Insecta; Phasmatodea; Bacillidae.
AGUCAAACAGAAGGCGGACUGUCCGCGCGGGCGGAACGACCGCAGUCCGCCGCGGACUAGGGAAGCCAGACAGAAUGCGGACAAGUCGAGGCGAACCAGUGUGAAAACAGUUGCAGUGAAACAGUGUGAUAUUCAAUUCUCUGUCUGGAAUUCGUGUUUUCUUGUUGUCAUUUCAAGAUGUCCAGCAGUUCAUCUGACGAAGAAGAGUUACUUCUUAUGUUCGCUUUGAGUAAAGCAAAAAGAAAAAGAAAAUGGGUGCAUGAAAUAAAUGAAACAAGAGAGGUGUUCGGCGAGUUUCACCGAUUAUGCUGUGAGUUGAGUUCAUUCGAAGACCGAUUUUUCACAUAUUUUCGAAUGUCUCAAGAACAAUUUGACAAAUUGCAUACCCUCCUUGAACAUAAAAUAUCAAAAGUGGCCACUAACUGGAGGAAACCCAUUGGGACGAAGGAAAGACUAGCUAUCUGUUUAAGGUAUUUGGCUACAGGUGAUUCCCAUCACACUAUUGCCUUUUCCUUCCGUGUUGGACGCACUACUGUUUCCAGCAUAGUUAAAGAAGUGUGCGUCGAGAUAUGGAACGUUCUACAACCGUUGUACUUGGCUACUCCAACAGAGGAAGUUUGGAGGAAAUCUGUAGUUGGCUUUAGAGAACGAUGGAACUUUCCCAACUGCAUCGGGAGUAUAGAUGGGAAACACGUGGAAAUCAAAUGCCCUAACAAGAGUGGAUCAAGUUAUUAUUGUUAUAAAAACUUUUUUUCGAUUGUUCUCUUGUCCAUAGUUGAUCUUUACUACAAUUUUAUUGUCGUUGACAUAGAUAGUUAUGGUCGGCACAGUGAUAGUGCCAUUUUCGAGAACUCCUCUUUCUAUCGCGAUUUUGUUGAUAACAAAACAAUUCUUCCUCCAAAACCAUUACCCGGGACAGAAACCCCCGUCCCUCAUGUGUUUGUAGGUGAUGAAGGGUUCAAGUUACAAACUUAUUUGAUGCGUCCGUUCCCAAGAAAGGCGGUCGUUGAUAAUAUAGAAAAAAGAAGGUACAAUAAACGACAUUGCAGAGCACGACGUAUCGUGGAAAAUGCCUUCGGCAUUUUAACUCAAAAGUGGCGUAUAUUUUUUAGACCUAUCGAAUGUAAUGUUGAUACAGCUGUACACGUUGUCAAAGCUGCUUGUUGUCUUCACAAUUUUAUUAGAGCUAACACAGAAAAUGUCACAACUGAUGAGCUAGAAUUAACAGACGAUAUAACAAAUCAACCCACCAAUGCUUUCUCAGCCACUACUCCAUUGAAAGAACGAUCUAGUGAUGCUGCCCAUGCUGUACGAAACCAUUUCGUUAAUUACUUCAACUAUUUAAGUUCGUGAAUCAUGAUGUAAAAAUUGUAAAAAACUUGUAAAAUAUUAUUACAUAUUUAUAUUACUGUUGCAUUGUAUGAUUAAGCUCUUUGUAAUGUUUCGUGUUAAUUUGUAAAGUAUAAAUAAAUAUGUAUACAUA